Molecule: ribosomal RNA, 497 nt
Filed under: uncultured bacterium
Lineage: Bacteria
Description: partial 16S ribosomal RNA
Rfam family: Bacterial small subunit ribosomal RNA
Source: RNAcentral
GAUGAACGCUGGCGGCGUGCCUAAUACAUGCAAGUCGAGCGAACAGACGAGGAGCUUUCUCCUCUGACGUUAGCGGCGGACGGGUGAGUAACACGUGGAUAACCUACCUAUAAGACUGGGAUAACUUCGGGAAACCGGAGCUAAUACCGGAUAAUAUAUUGAACCGCAUGGUUCAAUAGUGAAAGACGGUUUUGCUGUCACUUAUAGAUGGAUCCGCGCCGCAUUAGCUAGGUGGUAAGGUAACAUCUUACCAAGGCAACGAUGCGUAGCCGACCUGAGAGGGUGAUCGGCCAAACUGGAACGGAGACACGGUCCAGACUCCUACGGGAGGCAGCAGUAGGGAAUCUUCCGCAAUGGGCGAAAGCCUGACGGAGCAACGCCGCGUGAGUGAUGAAGGUCUUCGGAUCGUAAAACUCUGUUAUUAGGGAAGAACAAAUGUGUAAGUAACUAUGCACGUCUUGACGGUACCUAAUCAGAAAGCCACGGCUAACUACGUG